GGAUGCGAUCAUACCAGCACUAAAGCACCGGAUCCCAUCAGAACUCCGAAGUUAAGCGUGCUUGGGCGAGAGUAGUACUAGGAUGGGUGACGACUACUAGGAUGGGUGACCUCCUGGGAAGUCCUCGUGUUGCAUUCC
Molecule: ribosomal RNA, 138 nt
Filed under: Triticum aestivum (bread wheat)
Lineage: Eukaryota; Viridiplantae; Streptophyta; Magnoliopsida; Poales; Poaceae
Source: RNAcentral